This 792-nucleotide long non-coding RNA is filed under the name Vigna radiata. Its description in RNAcentral is "long non-coding RNA (VRAD_LNC011895)". The record is from RNAcentral. Lineage: Eukaryota; Viridiplantae; Streptophyta; Magnoliopsida; Fabales; Fabaceae.
GAGAGGGGAGCUUAUUCUGCACAAAGAGAGGAAGAAUCAAGUGAGAAAUCUUGAGAAGAAAGAGUUACGAAGAAAAUUUUAGAAGAGUAGAGGUUCUGGAGGGUUUUCGAGAGAACAAAUUCGGAGCAAGAAAUUGAGUCUGAAAUAGAGGUAAGGGGAGCUAACCUUUCUAAGUUUUUAUAUUAUAAAAUAUUUUUUUAUAACUAUUUAUGUCUUGAAAUGUUUUGCAAUUACUGUUAAUGAAAAACCUAUGUGCUUGUUGUAUAACUAUUUGAAUUUUUGUGAUAAUAUUAUAUGUUUUUGUUUUGAAUCUGUGAAUAAGAAAACUGUUAAUAACACGUUGAGGAACACUUUGACUAAGGAAAGAUAUGGUACUUAAUUUGUCCAUUGUGACGCACCUCUCUUCCCUGGAAGUCUACUCGAUGUGUUUUUAACUAAUUCUUAUCAAACAGAUUAGGUGCAGUUAAAUUAUUUUGUGAUAUAUUUAAUUUGUAUGAUUUUUGGGGAUGAAUGGACUUUAUGAUGUUUGUAUGAAUUAUUGAGUGUAUAUCCUUUUUCUAUUACAUCUAUCUGGAAGGAUAAGAAGAUGUCUAACCGGCUUUGCCAGAUUCAACUUCUUGAUUUCCCAUAACGUUUAUAUUAAAAUUAUUUUUUUAUGGUAGCUUACCAUUACUGUUUGUGUUGAAUGUAUUAUAUUGGACGUGAAAUUUAUGUAUUUGAGCGUAAUGGAAGUGUAUUAUGAUAUCAUAUAUAAACUUAAUAUUUUUGUUGUCUAUGAUGAAAUUAUGAUUG